UACGAAGGGGGCUAGCGUUGCUCGGAAUCACUGGGCGUAAAGGGUGCGUAGGCGGGUCUUUAAGUCAGGGGUGAAAUCCUGGAGCUCAACUCCAGAACUGCCUUUGAUACUGAAGAGCUUGAGUCCGGGAGAGGUGAGUGGAACUGCGAGUGUAGAGGUGAAAUUCGUAGAUAUUCGCAAGAACACCAGUGGCGAAGGCGGCUCACUGGCCCGGUACUGACGCUGAGGUGCGAAAGCGUGGGGAGCGAACAGG
This 253-nucleotide ribosomal RNA is filed under the name uncultured bacterium. RNAcentral's name for it is "partial 16S ribosomal RNA". It matches the Rfam family "Bacterial small subunit ribosomal RNA", at positions 524 to 776 of the family's 1533-position model. The record is from RNAcentral.